This 789-nucleotide ribosomal RNA is filed under the name Triticum aestivum (bread wheat). Its description in RNAcentral is "partial small subunit ribosomal RNA". Lineage: Eukaryota; Viridiplantae; Streptophyta; Magnoliopsida; Poales; Poaceae. The record is from RNAcentral.
CAGCCAUAUGGCGCGGGUGAGAGCUUGGGGUACACCGCGGAGUUCCGCCUCAACCCGAUGUGCUUGCGGGAUAAGGAUCUCUGGCUUAUGCGGUGCCCACUGAUAUGCAACUGGGCGGUUGAGUUUCAUUUGCCGCAUCGCGUGUAUCGUCAGUUUGGUCUUUUCCAGCCUCACCCGCCGGAUUGGGUGGACACGGAUAAAGCACUUCAUAGGUUGGAUAGGAGAAGGCAACGGAAGAUAAAGGACUGGGCCAAGCAUCAUUCUGCGUAUGUUACCCGCUUCCAGCUUUGUGUGGAGCAAGCUCGUAGCACUGCACGCGCCCCGCUUCGUGAGCACAACUCACUUGCUUUUGAUAACUACGUACGAUGGUUUAUUGGAACUACUCGAGUUGAGAUAUGCCCGCCGGCAUAUAAUGAGGAUAUUCUUGAAGAACCCGUAAACUUUGAGGAUCUAGCAAAGGGGAAGUACAACAGAGAUGUCAGGCUAGGGCAAGGAGUCCCUGCUGUUCCGGUGAUUAACUAUGUGCGCACCGAGAUCAAGAAAGCAGCUGAUGAGAGCCAGUCUAUUCUGGAGAAGACACCGGUUGGAACUGGCAAUGAUGAUGGUUCACUACGAGCAUUCCUCAAGCGUCAGGCCAAGAAGUUAAGGCGGUUAUCGAACCUUCUCGGUUGCCGUGAUCCUGAAUAUGAUGAACCAUCUGCCUCUAGGUCUGGUACACCAUCAGACCCCGCACCUCACCAUGAGGGGGACGAUGUGAGUUCCUCAUAUGCUUAUGUGGAUGAUGAGGGU